Molecule: long non-coding RNA, 301 nt
Organism: Phasianus colchicus (ring-necked pheasant)
Lineage: Eukaryota; Metazoa; Chordata; Aves; Galliformes; Phasianidae
Source: RefSeq, a predicted model, not a curated record
GGGGAGUGGCUGGGGGAACUGGGAUUGUUCAGUCAUAAAAGAGGAAGCUGAUUGGAGACCUUACCACUCUCUACAACUCCCUUAAGGAGGACUAUUCUCCCAGGCUGAUGGGCUCAAAGGAACUGACAGCAGCCGCUCAACUUCACCCUGGGCACAAAUCCAGUGAGGGGAAAGAGGAAAAGAAAAGGCUCCUUGCUGUCGUUUGUCAGCAAUAAUGGAUAUUUGGGGCGCUUUGGUACAGCAGGACACUCAGAGGUGCUUGAGAUCAUCAGAAGUUAAGCAAACAUGCAAAUUCUUGCAA